GACGAACGCUGGCGGCGUGCCUAAUACAUGCAAGUAGAACGCUGAAGCUUGGUGCUUGCACCGAGCGGAUGAGUUGCGAACGGGUGAGUAACGCGUAGGUAACCUGCCUGGUAGCGGGGGAUAACUAUUGGAAACGAUAGCUAAUACCGCAUAAGAGUAGAUGUUGCAUGACAUUUGCUUAAAAGGUGCAAUUGCAUCACUACCAGAUGGACCCGCGUUGUAUUAGCUAGUUGGUGAGGUAACGGCUCACCAAGGCAACGAUACAUAGCCGACCUGAGAGGGUGAUCGGCCACACUGGGACUGAGACACGGCCCAGACUCCUACGGGAGGCAGCAGUAGGGAAUCUUCGGCAAUGGACGGAAGUCUGACCGAGCAACGCCGCGGGAGUGAAGAAGGUUUUCGGAUCGUAAAGCUCUGUUGUAAGAGAAGAACGAGUGUGAGAGUGGAAAGUUCACACUGUGACGGUAUCUUACCAGAAAGGGACGGCUAACUACGUG
This 497-nucleotide ribosomal RNA is filed under the name uncultured bacterium. RNAcentral describes it as "partial 16S ribosomal RNA". It matches the Rfam family "Bacterial small subunit ribosomal RNA", at positions 28 to 507 of the family's 1533-position model. The record is from RNAcentral.